RNAcentral lists this long non-coding RNA (459 nucleotides) under Homo sapiens (human). RNAcentral describes it as "long independently transcribed non-coding RNA 173, transcript variant 2 (LINC00173)". The record is from RNAcentral. Lineage: Eukaryota; Metazoa; Chordata; Mammalia; Primates; Hominidae.
CGAGGCUCCCACCUGCUCUAAGCGCUUGGUACCAGGGAGGGAAUGGGAGGACGCUUGCGGGAUAGGGAGGCGGGGGCUGGAAAUUGGCAGGGUGAGAGCUGGGGAAACUAGUCUGGGACGCAGCCCUCCUUGUCCCCCUUCUUCAUUCACCCCCUUGUUGAGGCCCUUGGCUUUUGCAUAAUUAUGGAAGCUCCAAAAGGAAAGAUACCAGAUUGAUCUUGAUCACCUCUGCCUCCCCAGCACCUAGUCUUCCUUGGCACAUCGUGAGUGCUCGGGUCAGGCUGUGCCACAUCCACCCAGCCUUGCCUGGGGUCAUUUAUCCUACAUGUACUCAGAUCACGUGAACUGGUGAUGGGCCACCCAUGUGCCUGCCUGGAGACUCCUAUUCACCCUUCAGAUCAAUAUCCCCCAAAUAAACUCCCAGUCACUCUGGCAAAAAAAAAAAAAAAAAAAAAAAAA